This 253-nucleotide ribosomal RNA is filed under the name uncultured bacterium. RNAcentral describes it as "partial 16S ribosomal RNA". It matches the Rfam family "Bacterial small subunit ribosomal RNA", at positions 524 to 776 of the family's 1533-position model. The record is from RNAcentral.
GACGUAAGGGGCUAGCGUUGUCCGGAAUUACUGGGCGUAAAGAGCACGUAGGCGGCCUAACAAGCGGCGGGUGAAAUCCCGCGGCUCAACUGCGGAACUGCUUGCCGAACUGUUAGGCUGGAGCACGGGAGAGGGCAGUGGAAUUCCUGGUGUAGCGGUGGAAUGCGUCAAUAUCAGGAAGAACACCGGUGGCGAAGGCUGCUGCCUGGAACGUCGCUGACGCUGAGGUGCGAAAGCUAGGGGAGCGAACGGG